This 72-nucleotide transfer RNA is filed under the name Bipes biporus. RNAcentral describes it as "tRNA-Tyr". Lineage: Eukaryota; Metazoa; Chordata; Lepidosauria; Squamata; Bipedidae. The record is from RNAcentral.
UGGUAGAAGAAAGGACUCGAACCUUCGUCAAAAGGGCUACAACCUUCUGCCUACCCGCUCAGCCACUCUACC